UCCGUAGGGUGCAAGCGUUAAUCGGACUUACUGGGCGGAAAGCGUGCGCAGGCGGUUUUGUAAGUCUGUCGUUAAAGCCCCGGGCUCAAACUGGGAAUUGCGAUGGAGACUGCAAGGCUUGAAUCUGGCAGAGGGGGGUAGAAUUCCACGUGUAGCAGUGAAAUGCGUAGAGAUGUGGAGGAACACCGAUGGCGAAGGCAGCCCCCUGGGUCAAGAUUGACGCUCAUGCACGAAAGCGUGGGGAGCAAACAGG
This 253-nucleotide ribosomal RNA is filed under the name uncultured bacterium. Its description in RNAcentral is "partial 16S ribosomal RNA". It matches the Rfam family "Bacterial small subunit ribosomal RNA", at positions 524 to 776 of the family's 1533-position model. The record is from RNAcentral.